RNAcentral lists this ribosomal RNA (429 nucleotides) under Chloroflexota bacterium. RNAcentral's name for it is "Chloroflexi bacterium partial 16S ribosomal RNA". It matches the Rfam family "Bacterial small subunit ribosomal RNA", at positions 355 to 776 of the family's 1533-position model. Lineage: Bacteria; Bacillati; Chloroflexota. The record is from RNAcentral.
UGGGGAAUAUUGCACAAUGGGCGCAAGCCUGAUGCAGCCAUGCCGCGUGUAUGAAGAAGGCCUCCGGGUUGUAAAGUACUUUCAGCGGGGAGGAAGGGAGUAAAGUUAAUACCUUUGCUCAUUGACGUUACCCGCAGAAGAAGCACCGGCUAACUCCGUGCCAGCAGCCGCGGUAAUACGGAGGGUGCAAGCGUUAAUCGGAAUUACUGGGCGUAAAGCGCACGCAGGCGGUUUGUUAAGUCAGAUGUGAAAUCCCCGGGCUCAACCUGGGAACUGCAUCUGAUACUGGCGAGCUUGAGUCUCGUAGAGGGGGGUAGAAUUCCAGGUGUAGCGGUGAAAUGCGUAGAGAUCUGGAGGAAUACCGGUGGCGAAGGCGGCCCCCUGGACAAAGACUGACGCUCAGGUGCGAAAACGUGGGGAGCAAACAGG